Molecule: ribosomal RNA, 558 nt
Filed under: uncultured bacterium
Lineage: Bacteria
Description: bacterial SSU rRNA
Rfam family: Bacterial small subunit ribosomal RNA
Source: RNAcentral
AUUAAGUGUCCCGCCUGGGGAGUACGGCCCGCAAGGCUAAAACUCAAAGGAAUUGACGGGUCCCCGCACAAGCGGCGGAGCAUGCGGCUUAAUUCGAUGCAACCCGAAGAACCUUACCUGGGUUUGACAUCACGGGAAAAGCUGCAGAAAUGCAGUGUCCAUUAGGGCCCGUGACAGGUGGUGCAUGGCUGUCGUCAGCUCGUGUCGUGAGAUGUUGGGUUAAGUCCCGCAACGAGCGCAACCCUUGUCCUAUGUUGCCAGCGGUUCGGCCGGGGACUCAUAGGAGACUGCCGGGGAUAACUCGGAGGAAGGUGAGGACGACGUCAAGUCAUCAUGCCCCUUAUAUCCAGGGCUGCGCGCAUGCUACAAUGGCCGGUACAACGGGCAGCGACCUCGCGAGAGUGAGCGAAUCCCCCAAAGCCGGCCCCAGUUCGGAUUGAAGUCUGCAACUCGACUUCAUGAAGCCGGAGUCGCUAGUAAUCGCGGAUCAGCAAAGCCGCGGUGAAUACGUUCUCGGGGAUUGUACACACCGCCCGUCAAGUCACGGAAGUCGGCAAC